This 462-nucleotide ribosomal RNA is filed under the name uncultured bacterium. Its description in RNAcentral is "bacterial SSU rRNA". It matches the Rfam family "Bacterial small subunit ribosomal RNA", at positions 30 to 507 of the family's 1533-position model. The record is from RNAcentral.
AUUGAACGCUGGCGGUAUGCUUAACACAUGCAAGUCGAACGCUGAUAAGGUGCUUGCACCUUUGAUGAGUGGCGGACGGGUGAGUAAUGCAUAGGAAUCUGCCUAUUAGUGGGGGACAACGUGGGGAAACUCACGCUAAUACCGCAUACGAUCUACGGAUGAAAGCUGGGGACCUUCGGGCCUGGCGCUAAUAGAUGAGCCUAUGUCGGAUUAGCUAGUUGGUGGGGUAACGGGCCCACCAAGGCGAUGAUGGGUAGGCGGCCUGAGAGGGUGUACGCCCACACUGGGACUGAGAUACGGCCCAGACUCCUACGGGAGGCAGCAGUGGGGAAUUUUGCGCAAUGGGCGAGAGCCUGACGCAGCAACGCCGCGUGGGUGAUGAAGGUCUUCGGGUCGUAAACCCCUUUUGUGAGGGAAGAAGUUCUGACGGUACCUCACGAAUAAGACACGGCUAACUACGUG